CCUACGGGUGGCAGCAGUGAGGAAUAUUGGUCAAUGGGCGCGCGCCUGAACCAGCCAAGUCGCGUGAAGGAUGACUGCCCUACGGGUUGUAAACUUCUUUUAUAAAGGAAUAAAGUGAGGCACGUGUGCCUUUUUGUAUGUACUUUAUGAAUAAGGAUCGGCUAACUCCGUGCCAGCAGCCGCGGUAAUACGGAGGAUCCGAGCGUUAUCCGGAUUUAUUGGGUUUAAAGGGAGUGUAAAUGGGUUGUCAAGGCAGUUGUGAAAUUUUGCGGCUCAACCGUAAAAUUGCAAUUGAUACUGGCAGUCUUGAGUAGAGUUGAGGUAGGCGGAAUUCGUGGUGUAGCGGUGAAAUGCUUAGAUAUCACGAAGAACUCCGAUUGCGAAGGCAGCUUACUAAACUGCCACUGACAUUGAUGCUCGAAAGUGUGGGUAUCAAACAGGAUUAGAUACCCUAGUAGUC
This 460-nucleotide ribosomal RNA is filed under the name uncultured bacterium. RNAcentral's name for it is "partial 16S ribosomal RNA". It matches the Rfam family "Bacterial small subunit ribosomal RNA", at positions 338 to 795 of the family's 1533-position model. The record is from RNAcentral.